UGUAUUUCUUUUGCUCAGAGUCCACAAUCUUAUACCUAAUUUUUAUGGGAAUUGGUUUGUUCUAUGUCAUAUAAUUAAUCGUAAAUUUUUAGGCUGCAGAGUUUCAGAGAAUUAGGUGAGUCUUUAAUGUAUUUCUCCUGCUGUUCCUAGAUAUUCUUUGUCUGCCCUUGUAUUGGCUGUGACUGGUUUUGGUAAACCAAGUAGCAGGCGGUUUUGGAUAUUGCCUUGGCACACAAAUUUGCCUAAAAAUGACAUUGGCAUUCUUUCUGCUUAAUUUUUAAGUGAGGGCACUGGACCAGGUGAUGUGUCGGUCCCUGCCAGCUGUGACGUGGUGACACUGCAGUGCGGGGCCUUUCCGUGCAUUUCUUUUUUUACGUUGGCUGUUACAGUAGGCCGCCUGGAUGUUGGUGUCGUCACCUCUAGAGGCCUCCAUAAAAUCCUAGGAGCAGCCCAGGCCUGCUGACCAAUGAGGAUUGUAGUCCCUGGUGAAGAAGUGCAGCUCUUGACCAGCUGGAUGCUGAGAUGACACCUCAGGAAGUCAGGACACCCACCUGCCCUGAGGCCCUUGCUGCCUGGCCACCCCUCAGACUACUUUCUGGGAGGAGGAACAGUGCUCAGCCAGUAGGAAACAGGAAGACGAGAGCUCCUGUCUGCAGUUUCGCUCCUGUCGUGGAUGUCAGGAGGACCGUGAAGAAAAGGGCAUCACAGAAUUGGGCAGCCCUCCGAACCAGGUUCAAAGAACUCCAUCUGCUACGUGGUCAGACAGCAUUUAUGGACAGAAAACGAAAAUGAGGCACAGAAAACGGAAGUGAGGUACAGAGACAGCUGGACGCUUGCCUCUUUGAACAUGGUUUGAACAGUUGGCCUUCUGUGAUUGACUGCAGUGCGGCUGCUGUGGUUGUCUGAGACUCUGCUAUUUGUUACGAAAGUACACAGUCAUGCUUCGGUUGACAAUGGGGAUACUUUCUGACAAGGGUAGUGUUAGGUGACUUCAUUGUUAGGCAGUUUCAUCACAUGAACAUCAUAGCAUGUACUUACACCAACUUGUCACUGUACAGCCUACUGCACACCCAGGGUAUAUGGUAUAGCCUGUCGCUCCCAGGCUGCAAACCUGUGCAGCAUGUCACUGUACUGAAUACUGUAGGUAAUUGUAACACGAUGAUGAUAAGUAUUUGUGUAGCUAAACAUAUUUAAACAGAUAAGGUACAGUAAAAAUACGGUACUAUAAUCAUACGGUACUACCAUCAUAAAUGCGUCCUGCUGUUGACUAAAACAUUGUUAUGUGGCACAUGACUGUACUCCUAAGUUAUGCUUUCAGUUAGUUUGCAUACUGAGCUGGUUGCAGCUCAUUACCUAAGAACUCUUGUACAGAGGCAUCCUCAAGCCAGGUGGAGUUUGAUUUUACACUGCUAGCCCACCUCAGGCCAGUGCCUCUGCAUGCCUGCGGGAGUCAGCUGUGUCCUCUGGGUGAGGGUUGUUGGGAGUGCAGAUUCCUGGGCUUCACAGACUGAAACUGCACCUGAAGCACUUCCCACCACCCUUACAUAAUUUUAGAGAUUACGAACUACCGUCUUAAUUCUUAGGCAUAGUUAAAAGUUAAGAAGUUUUUUAUUUGUUAAUAUUUGCAAGGCUGUAUCUCAGGAAUGAGGAGAAACUGCUUUUAUGUGUCUAAUGACCUUGGCUUGAAUCUUCCUGUUUUAAACCUGCAGAUCAAGUUUUAUGUCAAUAUAAGAAUAAUACUAUUUUUAAAAGACUUUGGAACUGUGGAAAUGAUUUAAAGUUUUUGAGUUUGGAAUUCUGCGAAUGUGUCUUCCAGGUUGCUGAGAGUAUCAGCAUGUGGUAUCACAGUUGUCCCUUGGGUUCUGGGACUCCCUUGGAUACGGAAAUCCACGGAUGCUUAAAUCCCUGAUUUAAAAUGGGAGUAAUAUUUGCAUAUAAUCUAUGCACAUCCUCCUGUAUACUUUAAAUGAUCUCUAGAUCCCUUAU
This is a long non-coding RNA of Lemur catta (Ring-tailed lemur), 1986 nucleotides long. RefSeq lists it as uncharacterized. NCBI's taxonomy places the organism in Eukaryota, Metazoa, Chordata, Mammalia, Primates, Lemuridae. The record is from RefSeq and is a predicted model, not a curated record. The transcript is spliced from 3 exons.